CCCGGUACCUCAGUUCAGAUUGCAGGCUGCAACUCGCCUGCAUGAAGUUGGAAUUGCUAGUAAUCGCGAAUCAGAAUGUCGCGGUGAAUACGUUCCCGGGCCCUUGUACACACCGCCCGUCACACCAUGGAGUUGGAAGCACCCGAAGUCGGUGACCUGACCGAAAGGGAGGAGCCGCCGAAGGUGAAGCCAGCGACUGGGGUGAAGUCGUAACAAGGUAUC
Molecule: ribosomal RNA, 222 nt
Filed under: uncultured bacterium
Lineage: Bacteria
Description: partial 16S ribosomal RNA
Rfam family: Bacterial small subunit ribosomal RNA
Source: RNAcentral